This 465-nucleotide ribosomal RNA is filed under the name uncultured bacterium. Its description in RNAcentral is "partial 16S ribosomal RNA". It matches the Rfam family "Bacterial small subunit ribosomal RNA", at positions 28 to 507 of the family's 1533-position model. The record is from RNAcentral.
GACGAACGCUGGCGGCGUGCUUAACACAUGCAAGUCGAACGGUAAGGCUCCAGCUUGCUGGGGUACACGAGUGGCGAACGGGUGAGUAACACGUGGUGACCUGCCCUGCACUUCGGGAUAAGCCUGGGAAACUGGGUCCAAUACCGGAUAGGACCAUGGGGGGGAUACUGUGGUGGAAAGUUUUUUCGGUGUGGGAUGGGCCCGCGGCCUAUCAGCUUGUUGGUGGGGUAAUGGCCUACCAAGGCGGCGACGGGUAGCCGGCCUGAGAGGGUGGACGGCCACAUUGGGACUGAGACACGGCCCAGACUCCUACGGGAGGCAGCAGUGGGGAAUAUUGCACAAUGGGCGGAAGCCUGAUGCAGCGACGCCGCGUGGGGGAUGACGGCCUUCGGGUUGUAAACUCCUUUCACCAUCGACGAAGGGUUUCUGACGGUAGAUGGAGAAGAAGCACCGGCUAACUACGUG